Molecule: ribosomal RNA, 429 nt
Filed under: Bacteroidota bacterium
Lineage: Bacteria; Pseudomonadati; Bacteroidota
Description: Bacteroidetes bacterium partial 16S ribosomal RNA
Rfam family: Bacterial small subunit ribosomal RNA
Source: RNAcentral
UAGGGAAUCUUCGGCAAUGGGGGGAACCCUGACCGAGCAACGCCGCGUGAGUGAAGAAGGUUUUCGGAUCGUAAAGCUCUGUUGUUAAGGAAGAACGAGUGUGAGAAUGGAAAGUUCAUGCUGUGACGGUACUUAACCAGAAAGGGACGGCUAACUACGUGCCAGCAGCCGCGGUAAUACGUAGGUCCCGAGCGUUGUCCGGAUUUAUUGGGCGUAAAGCGAGCGCAGGCGGUUAGAAAAGUCUGAAGUGAAAGGCAGUGGCUCAACCAUUGUAGGCUUUGGAAACUGUUUAACUUGAGUGCAGAAGGGGAGAGUGGAAUUCCAUGUGUAGCGGUGAAAUGCGUAGAUAUAUGGAGGAACACCAGUGGCGAAGGAGACUCUCUGGUCUGUAACUGACGCUGAGGUUCGAAAGCGUGGGUAGCAAACAGG